This 484-nucleotide ribosomal RNA is filed under the name uncultured bacterium. Its description in RNAcentral is "partial 16S ribosomal RNA". It matches the Rfam family "Bacterial small subunit ribosomal RNA", at positions 30 to 507 of the family's 1533-position model. The record is from RNAcentral.
AUUGAACGCUGGCGGCAUGCUUUACACAUGCAAGUCGAACGGUAACAGGGUGCUUGCACCUCUGACGAGUGGCGAACGGGUGAGUAAUGCAUCGGAAUGUACCGUGUAAUGGGGGAUAGCUCGGCGAAAGCCGGAUUAAUACCGCAUACGCCCUGAGGGGGAAAGUGGUGGACCGAAAGGCCUCACGUUAUACGAGCAGCCGAUGUCUGAUUAGCUAGUUGGUGAGGUAAAGGCUCACCAAGGCGUCGAUCAGUAGCAGGUCUGAGAGGAUGAUCCGCCACACUGGGACUGAGACACGGCCCAGACUCCUACGGGAGGCAGCAGUGGGGAAUUUUGGACAAUGGGCGCAAGCCUGAUCCAGCCAUGCCGCGUGUCUGAAGAAGGCCUUCGGGUUGUAAAGGACUUUUGUCCGGGAGCAAAUCCUAGUGGUUAAUACCUACUGGGGCUGAGAGUACCGGAAGAAUAAGCACCGGCUAACUACGUG